AGGUCAACUGAAACAAGCCCCACCUAUAUAAAAACGCCCUAAUCAGACACCCUAACCCUUUCCUCACUACUUUACAUCGACCCUUGAGAACAUAACACUUCGUUCAUCAGCACGGGCAGCAAACCUAACAGCGUUCUUUUUAACAUGGACAACAUAUAUGCCUGAUUUUUAGGAACUCGGCACAACAUACGUUCCACUUACACAAGGAUCACAAAGCUAUAUAGGUCAAACUACACCUCUUAAAAACACAAGGUUCAAUAAGUUGUCCAGAAAAACCUGCAGAAGCGGGAGCAAUAAGUCCAAGCCUUACGUUAGGCCUGAGACAGAGUACGCAGCGUGUCAAGAACCGGGGCCAUCCGGAAUAACACAGAACAAAGUCGAUCACACAACCCCUUACCACUAUGGGCCCCAUGAAGACCCCUUGAUGUUUUUGGUAUAUUUACGCGAUAUUGAACUCCCAGAACAACAAGAAGAAAAACCACAACCUUUGGGCAACAUCGGAGACUCGGAAGAAUUCUUCAUCACCGGACCACACAUACCAGCGACGAGCUCUCACUCCUCCCUGAAGACAAGGAAUGCAGUUCCAAAGAGCAAUAACAUGGCAGAUAAAGAGACAGCAGCAAAGUCCUGAGCAAAGAGACCCAGCAAGCAGCAGCAGUGUGGACAAACAGCAUCGGAGAAGAAAAACAAACCCAUCAUCCUGACUGAUUGGAUGAAUGACACUGUGUUUCCAACAAGCUGCAAAUUCACUGUGCAUGUGAAAAGAACGUUUGAGAACCGAGGAGACUGUUGGAGUUUGACAUUUGCCACUUUAGAAGUAAAAUGGCAAGAAGAGACAGUGGAACUGUCAGGAAGAGAAAG
This is a long non-coding RNA of Oreochromis aureus, 861 nucleotides long. The record is from Ensembl. Lineage: Eukaryota; Metazoa; Chordata; Actinopteri; Cichliformes; Cichlidae.